AUUGAACGCUGGCGGCAUGCCUUACACAUGCAAGUCGAACGGCAGCACGGGAGCAAUCCUGGUGGCGAGUGGCGAACGGGUGAGUAAAGUAUCGGAACGUGCCCAGUCGUGGGGGAUAACGUAGCGAAAGUUACGCUAAUACCGCAUACGAUCUAUGGAUGAAAGCGGGGGAUCGCAAGACCUCGCGCGAUUGGAGCGGCCGAUAUCAGAUUAGGUAGUUGGUGGGGUAAAGGCCCACCAAGCCGACGAUCUGUAGCUGGUCUGAGAGGACGACCAGCCACACUGGGACUGAGACACGGCCUAGACUCCUACGGGAGGCAGCAGUGGGGAAUUUUGGACAAUGGGCGAAAGCCUGAUCCAGCCAUGCCGCGUGCAGGAUGAAGGCCUUCGGGUUGUAAACUGCUUUCGUACGGAACGAAAAGGACUGCCCUAAUACGGUGGUCCCAUGACGGUACCGUAAGAAUAAGCACCGGCUAACUACGUGCCAGCCGCCGCGGUAA
Molecule: ribosomal RNA, 500 nt
Filed under: uncultured bacterium
Lineage: Bacteria
Description: partial 16S ribosomal RNA
Rfam family: Bacterial small subunit ribosomal RNA
Source: RNAcentral